Molecule: ribosomal RNA, 440 nt
Filed under: uncultured bacterium
Lineage: Bacteria
Description: partial 16S ribosomal RNA
Rfam family: Bacterial small subunit ribosomal RNA
Source: RNAcentral
CCUACGGGUGGCAGCAGUGGGGAAUAUUGCACAAUGGAGGGAACUCUGAUGCAGCGACGCCGCGUGAGUGAAGAAGUAAUUCGUUAUGUAAAGCUCUAUCAGCAGGGAAGAAAGUGACGGUACCUGAAAAAGAAGCUCCGGCUAAAUACGUGCCAGCAGCCGCGGUAAUACGUAUGGAGCAAGCGUUAUCCGGAUUUACUGGGUGGAAAGGGGGAGUAGGUGGCAGAGCAAGUCCGAAGUGAAGACCCAAAGCUUAACUAUGGGAAUGCUUUAGAAACUGCUCAGCUAGAGUGGAGGAGAGGCAAGUGGAAUGCGUGGUGUAGCGGUGAAAUGCAUAGAUAUUAGGAAGAACACCGGUUGCGAAGGCGGCUUGCUGGCCUGUAACUGACGCUGAGGCACGAAAGCGUGGGGAGCGAACAGGAUUAGAUACCCGAGUAGUC